This 1227-nucleotide ribosomal RNA is filed under the name Triticum aestivum (bread wheat). Its description in RNAcentral is "partial small subunit ribosomal RNA". Lineage: Eukaryota; Viridiplantae; Streptophyta; Magnoliopsida; Poales; Poaceae. The record is from RNAcentral.
AUGUGGGAAACUGUUUUCUGCAGUGUAUCGGAGUUUGAUUUGUCAGAGCUCGAGAGCCUUUUUCCAGCAGCUGUACCAAAAACGGAUAACACCUCCAAAACCGACAGAAGAAAAUCUCUUGGAUCAAAGCCAGAGAAAGUUCAGCUGAUUGAGUUGAGGAGGGCAAACAACACGGAGAUCAUGCUUACAAAAGUGAAGAUGCCGCUGCCAGACUUGGUGAGUGCGGCACUGGCACUUGAUCAGUCUACCUUGGAUGUUGAUCAAGUGGAGAAUCUCAUAAAGUUCUGUCCUACGAAAGAGGAAAUGGAGCUUCUUAAGAACUACACCGGAGACAAGCAACUUCUUGGGAAAUGUGAACUGUUCUUCCUAGAACUGAUGAAAGUCCCACGAAUGGAGUCAAAACUGAGAGUAUUCUCCUUCAAGAUCCAGUUUGGUUCACAAGUCGCAGAUCUUGGGAAAAGUUUGAAAACCAUAGACUCUUCAUGUAAUGAGAUCCGAAGUUCUCUCAAGUUGAAGGAAAUAAUGAAGAAAAUACUGCUCCUUGGAAAUACGUUGAACCAGGGAACUGCUAGAGGUGCUGCAGUUGGCUUCCGGUUGGAUAGUUUGCUAAAACUUACAGAUACCCGGGCAACAAACAAUAAGAUGACAUUAAUGCACUACCUCUGCAAGGUGCUUGCUGCAAAAUCACCACAGCUUUUGAACUUCCAUGUGGAUCUUGUUAGUUUAGAAGCUACAUCAAAGAUACAACUGAAAAUGUUAGCAGAAGAAAUGCAAGCAGUCAGUAAAGGGCUGGAAAAAGUUGAGCACGAGUUUAAAGCUUCAGAAAGUGAUGGUCCAGUGUCAGAAAUUUUCCGUGAGAAACUGAAAGAGUUCACUGACAAUGCUGGAGCAGAUGUGCAGUCAUUGUCUUCAUUGUUCUCUGAAGUGGGAAAAAAGGCUGAUCAAUUGAUCAAAUAUUUUGGUGAGGAUCCUGUCCGUUGCCCAUUUGAGCAAGUUAUGUCUACCCUGUUGACAUUUGUAACAAUGUUCCGGAAAGCACACGAGGAGAAUAUCAAGCAAGCCGAGCUUGAGAAGAAAAAAGCUCAAAAAGAGGCAGAAGCAGAGAAGUCUAAGAAUGCUCAGUUGGCCAGUAAAAAUGACUCGAAAGCAUCGAAUCCAAGCCGACAAGCGAAACAAACGUUAGAGAAAACAAGAUCUACAAGUAGGCGAGGAAAAGAUGGUGGGUGA